ACAAAGAAACAGCCUAAACUCAUCUUAGGUUUCAGCUCCACCAGACUUUCUCCUUGCUCUUUAGCUUCCUCACAGCCCAAAACACCAAAUCCACCAACUUCUCCUUCAAAUCCGCUUCAUACGGUUUUGAGAGAGAGAGAAAAGAAAGAGAUAAGAAGAAGGGAGAGGAGAGGGUUCCCUGGUACGCAGGGAAGGCUGGUGGAGGGCUGGGCUUAUAGAUAAGAUCUAAACAAUUGCAUAUAAACCCCUCACUAUUGCUGUUCCAAAUUCAGAAUCUGAUACUUUUCGCCGGAGCCCUUCUGAAUGUCCGUUUAUGCUCAAAUUUGACAGCCAGGCUCGAUUAAAAUUAAUAAGAAGAACGAAAUCUUAACUUUUCAGUUUUGAACCAUUUUUUGUCACUGAAAACUCUAUCGACUAAAAUCUCUAGUAGAUAGCAAUUAGAUUUUGUUUUUCACUUUCCGAGUGUCAGAAUGACAUGAAACUUUAAAUCUAGCCUCAGAAAAAUAAUUCCGACAUAUUCUCAAAUUUUCAUAAUUUUCUGACACUGUGAAUUUUUUGCUAAAAAAUCAGCUCCGUUCCUUACAGAAAAUUCUAAAUCUUCUGUUUUCAUUCCAAUUUCGGCACAAGUCAUUUUUGACUUAUAUUUUAUUUCUUUAAGUUCAAUAAAAAUAGUAUCUUACACUAUUUUCAUUUAUACCUACUUUUAUAUUAAAAAUCCGGUAUAUUACAAAUCAG
Molecule: long non-coding RNA, 735 nt
Filed under: Ananas comosus (pineapple)
Lineage: Eukaryota; Viridiplantae; Streptophyta; Magnoliopsida; Poales; Bromeliaceae
Description: long non-coding RNA (ACOM_LNC001962)
Source: RNAcentral